RNAcentral lists this ribosomal RNA (490 nucleotides) under uncultured bacterium. RNAcentral describes it as "partial 16S ribosomal RNA". It matches the Rfam family "Bacterial small subunit ribosomal RNA", at positions 30 to 507 of the family's 1533-position model. The record is from RNAcentral.
AUUGAACGCUGGCGGCAGGCCUAACACAUGCAAGUCGAACGGUAACAGGAAGCAGCUUGCUGCUUUGCUGACGAGUGGCGGACGGGUGAGUAAUGUCUGGGAAACUGCCUGAUGGAGGGGGAUAACUACUGGAAACGGUAGCUAAUACCGCAUAACGUCGCAAGACCAAAGAGGGGGACCUUCGGGCCUCUUGCCAUCGGAUGUGCCCAGAUGGGAUUAGCUAGUAGGUGGGGUAACGGCUCACCUAGGCGACGAUCCCUAGCUGGUCUGAGAGGAUGACCAGCCACACUGGAACUGAGACACGGUCCAGACUCCUACGGGAGGCAGCAGUGGGGAAUAUUGCACAAUGGGCGCAAGCCUGAUGCAGCCAUGCCGCGUGUAUGAAGAAGGCCUUCGGGUUGUAAAGUACUUUCAGCGGGGAGGAAGGGAGUAAAGUUAAUACCUUUACUCAUUGACGUUACCCGCAGAAGAAGCACCGGCUAACUCCGUG